Molecule: ribosomal RNA, 465 nt
Filed under: uncultured bacterium
Lineage: Bacteria
Description: partial 16S ribosomal RNA
Rfam family: Bacterial small subunit ribosomal RNA
Source: RNAcentral
GACGAACGCUGGCGGCGUGCUUAACACAUGCAAGUCGAACGGAAAGGCCCUGCUUGCAGGGUACUCGAGUGGCGAACGGGUGAGUAACACGUGGGUGAUCUGCCCUGCACUUCGGGAUAAGCUUGGGAAACUGGGUCUAAUACCGGAUAGGAGCCAUCUUUAGUGUGGUGGUUGGAAAGUUUUUUCGGUGUAGGAUGAGCUCGCGGCCUAUCAGCUUGUUGGUGGGGUAAUGGCCUACCAAGGCGGCGACGGGUAGCCGGCCUGAGAGGGUGUACGGCCACAUUGGGACUGAGAUACGGCCCAGACUCCUACGGGAGGCAGCAGGGGGGAAUAUUGCACAAUGGGCGCAAGCCUGAUGCAGCGACGCCGCGUGGGGGAUGAAGGCCUUCGGGUUGUAAACUCCUUUCGCUAGGGACGAAGCUUUUUGUGACGGUACCUAGAGAAGAAGCACCGGCUAACUACGUG